RNAcentral lists this ribosomal RNA (577 nucleotides) under uncultured Alphaproteobacteria bacterium. RNAcentral describes it as "bacterial SSU rRNA". It matches the Rfam family "Bacterial small subunit ribosomal RNA", at positions 8 to 619 of the family's 1533-position model. Lineage: Bacteria; Pseudomonadati; Pseudomonadota; Alphaproteobacteria. The record is from RNAcentral.
AGAGUUUGAUCAUGGCUCAGAACGAACGCUGGCGGCAGGCCUAACACAUGCAAGUCGAAGGAGAAGUUUCUCUUCGGAGAGAUGGACACUGGCGCACGGGUGAGUAACGCGUGGGAAUCUACCCCGGGGUGGGGGACAACCGCUGGAAACGGCGGCUAAUACCGCAUACGCCUUGAGAGGGAAAGCUUUAGCGCCCUGGGAUGAGCCCGCGUUAGAUUAGGUAGUUGGUGGGGUAAUGGCCUACCAAGCCUUCGAUCUAUAGCUGGUCUGAGAGGAUGAUCAGCCACACUGGGACUGAGACACGGCCCAGACUCCUACGGGAGGCAGCAGUGGGGAAUAUUGGACAAUGGGGGCAACCCUGAUCCAGCCAUGCCGCGUGCGUGAAGAAGGCCUUAGGGUUGUAAAGCGCUUUCACUGGUGAAGAUGAUGACGGUAGCCAGAGAAGAAGCCCCGGCUAACUCCGUGCCGGCAGCCGCGGUAAUACGGAGGGGGCAAGCGUUGUUCGGAAUUACUGGGCGUAAAGGGCGCGUAGGCGGAAUAUCAAGUUAGGGGUGAAAGGCCUGGGCUCAACCUAGGA